CCUUUCUCCAUACUGUAUACUAUCCGAUACAGUAUAGUAUACUGUACCGAAAUUUAUAUGGCGAAGUGAUUGCGGCUCACGACACGUUAACUGAUGGGGACUGUUCGCUUUAUAGUAUAGGAUAGAAUACACAAACACAAAGCACAAUAGGCGCACAAUAUAGCGAGAAGCCGAAAGCCGCGAGAAGCAUCAAACUGAGUUGAAUGUAAGCGAGAAGUACUUUCUCGCUCUCGCUCGCAAGAUUUCUCGGCUUUCGCUCGUGCAUAGUUGCAUUCCAUGAGAGCGAUAAAGCCAGAAAUCUCGCUCUCGCUGGUAAAUUCGUGUCUGCAUAGUCGCACCCUAAGUCGAGAUCUGGCUGAGUCGUUUUCUCGCCUCCGAUGGCGAUAUAUUCAGCUCAUUUCUUCGCCUCGUUUAAUGUUCGCGUUUUGUCGCUAUCGCUAUAUUUGUUUGAAGCGAUUGAAAUCAAGAUACAGUACAGGAAUUGCUAGUUUCAGGGAAC
Molecule: long non-coding RNA, 499 nt
Filed under: Androctonus crassicauda
Lineage: Eukaryota; Metazoa; Arthropoda; Arachnida; Scorpiones; Buthidae
Source: RNAcentral